Non-coding RNA from Salvelinus sp. IW2-2015, 1229 nucleotides. The record is from RefSeq and is a predicted model, not a curated record. Lineage: Eukaryota; Metazoa; Chordata; Actinopteri; Salmoniformes; Salmonidae.
CCAGCUAUCACUCUGCUUAAGAAGAACCAGCUAUCACUCUGCUUAAGAAGACCCAGCUAUCACUCUGCUUAAGAACCAGGUCCCCACAGUAGUGAAGGUUCUCCACAAGCAGCUGAAAGAAAAGAGCAUGAAGUCUAGACAGGGCUAUUUGUCUGCUGACAGAGCUGGCCAACGUACUGCCAGGGGUCCUAGGGGAACACAUACCAGCUCUCACAUCAGGUAUCAUUUACUCAGAGAAGUCUACCUCGUCCAACAUGAAGAUCAAUGCCCUCUAUGUCCUCCUGUGCAUCCACCCUCCUGACGUCUUCCAGCCUCAUGAAGACAAACUACCUGCAUCUACAUUUGACGUCAAGCACUACGUGAAGGACUUGUUCGCUGGCACCCUGAAGAGGCUGAAGGCUGCAGACAAAGACCAGGAAGUGAAGGAGAGGGCCAUUUCUUGUAUGGGUCACAUGUGUCACCUAGGAUACCUAGAUUGUCCUGGAGAGGCUGAAGAACRAGAUCACCAGGUAGGCAGGGUAGAGAGGCGGACCAUCAGUAUCCAAGGUAACAUCAUCUGCUGAAGAACGAGAUCACCAGGUAGGCAGGGUAGAGAGGCAGACCAUCAGUAUCCAAGGUAACAUCUUCUGCUGAUGUACCUUGACCCCUAAACUGCUCCAUCCCUCCAACACAGUGCAGCUUCCCUGGACGGAGAGCUAUUUCRGGGGGUUAAGUGCCUUGCUUAAGGGCACCAUAGUAGUAUUUUCUCUACUAUUCUCUUCCCAGGUUGACAGCGGUGAAGACCAUGACUCAUCUCCGCAUUGCCCCUUAGGAUUGACCUCUGACCUUYACUCACAGAGGGCAUCCCCAUCCUGGGCUCCUUCCCCGGGAAGAACCAACACGCCCUCAAGCUGAGCAUGCCGACCGGUCUCAACAUGAUCGUGAGGAACAGCAACAGCCUGAAGCCACCCAUGAUCGAUGCCGUGCUCAAAAAGCUACCUGCUUUGAUUGAGSAGAGCAAUAUGCACAUAUCCCAGGUGGCAGUCCUCACCUGUAUGGCUAAGGUGUGCCCCUCCUCCCUGUCCAAGAUCGGGAACACUGUCCUACCUGGGGUGUUGCAUCUGGUUMAUUCCCCAGUUGCUCCAAUGAGGGUCUCUCUCCGCCAUACUCACUCCCUCAGAAAUUAUUCCUAUUCUGCCUUGAAAGUUGAUAGUUGGAAACAUGUGAUAUUAAAAGGACUUUGAAAAAUA